CUCCUCUCAGGAUCGCACCUGGAGAGUUUCCAGUACUCUACCAGUCUCGGAGACGAGAGGGAGAGUCAAGCAGAAGCAUAUCUAUUCCAUUCCUAGCUUGGGUCGUGGCUAGAGAGUGGAAGGCAAACUACUCCAAGU
Small nucleolar RNA from Tachyglossus aculeatus (Australian echidna), 138 nucleotides. NCBI's taxonomy places the organism in Eukaryota, Metazoa, Chordata, Mammalia, Monotremata, Tachyglossidae. The record is from RefSeq and is a predicted model, not a curated record.